This 932-nucleotide long non-coding RNA is filed under the name Sipha flava (yellow sugarcane aphid). Its description in RNAcentral is "uncharacterized LOC112685338, transcript variant X2". The record is from RNAcentral. Lineage: Eukaryota; Metazoa; Arthropoda; Insecta; Hemiptera; Aphididae.
ACUAUUAUCGACUAACAACAAAUAAAGAUAAAAUAUUUCAAUCUGCUAUUGCUGUACCGUCCGCGCUCUGCAUGUCAGUCACGCCAUUCGUUUCUUGUGUUAUUUUGUGCGCAAUUGUUACCAGUAUUGUAUUUUUAUUUUUUAUCAAAUUUCAUUAAAUAUUUAAUUUAAUUUCGUCACAAAAAUGCCUAAGAAAUUUACAUGUGUUUUAGUUAAAAAGUAUAUUACAGAAUUUGGGUCAGAUGUUUUUUCAGCAUACUAUAAUGUGCUGUUUUGUAAUUAUUGUGAAACGAAAGUGAGCGUGGAUAAAAGGUUUAUUGUCACCCAACAUCUUAAGACGGAAAAACAAAUGGGCAGCUAAGGGUAUUAAAAAUCGCCCAGAAUUCAAACUUGAUUGAACUACUAAAUUGAUCGAGUGAGCAAAACAAGAUAAAUAUCGCUGCUUUAAUAUUUGCUGCAUAGUCACUUACUACUCCAGUUAGUUUACAAGACGAAUUCCAAUCAUCAACCCUAUUUCUCAAGUACCGAGCCAAGUUGCUUGCUUAUAUGAUCAAUAAAAUGAGCUGUUACUGCUAUGAAACUUUCAUUAUUGAUAGACAUCCAGCAAACAGACAUAGUGCCGUUACAUUGUUAUUUUUUGUCUUUGACGCAUUCAAGGGUCAUUUCGUACAUCUGUGGUAAUAAAUUCUGUGUUACGGUUUUUAUAGAUGGAAUGGAAUAGGAUGGGCACAUGUUAAUCAACUUUCGGAACUCUUUAUCCUCUACAAUGCUAAAAGGUUAUUUAUAGAUGCCUGCUGUUUAGAAAUAUGACUUAAAUCUUUUUAUACUGGUGCUGCAGUUAAAUGAUUGUUAUGUGACAUAGAUGAUGAUGGUUAUGAAUCAUUGAGUACCUCAAAAUUUGGGAUACACAUCUUAUAAUUUAAAAAAUAUUG